Molecule: long non-coding RNA, 1107 nt
Organism: Amphimedon queenslandica
Lineage: Eukaryota; Metazoa; Porifera; Demospongiae; Haplosclerida; Niphatidae
Exons: 2
Source: RefSeq, a predicted model, not a curated record
AUUAAAGGGACACAUGCACGGAAGCACGUCAUCUUGAAAAACUGGCCCGUUUUUCAAGAUGACAUCAUUAAUGAUGACGUUUAGUGUUGAUAACUAUUCAUAACGUGCGGUCGCGCCCCCUAAUAAUUAAGGCAAAAUGGCUACUCGAGUGGCUAUUUGUAAAUAUUCCUGGUGUUUCUUCACUAAAAAGAGUAUCUUGGGGUGGCAAAAGAGCUAAUUCUGUUCGAGAGAAGUGUUCUACAGAUGCCUACUCCUGGUUCUGCGACUGAUUGCUGUCUCUACUCUCUACGCGUGUCUAAACACGUGUCAUAACUAUUAAUUAAUGAUCUGUUGCACGCCCAAUUUAAUGUUUACUUCCUCUACAGUAACGUGUGCAUUCUAUUUCCGUGAACGUGUCCCUUUAAAUACACAGUACAAGUUCUUUCAGUGUAACUCCUGACUGGUAGGCUGCAUGGAUAAAUGUAGCGCUACUAGUGAUGGAGCAUCUCUCCGGACGGUUUCGACUUUCGAGGAGCAAACUUUGAAUACCGCUUGAGCGGAGGAAGUCAUCAACCUAACUGCUUUUAGAGGCUUUCAAGGCCCCUGCUUAGAAGGAGUGACAUUUUUAUCAGCCCUUUCAAUCCUGACCAAAUAGGGAUGGGAGAUGGCGGGGUCCAUCAACUCUCCCGAGCAACACGGAGAAAACCCGGUGGUAAGGCAUUCCGGGCCACUCACAAUAGAUCUAGCUCAACGUAGCCCCGGCCAAUGAGGGAAUCGACUCCCAGACAUCAAUAAAUUCACUACACUACUGGUGCUGUGGUAACUUCGGGACUUAGUGACAAUAAUAGCACACGUUUGCUCUCGAUAACAAGAUACUUUACAAAGAAGUAUAUAACUGUGGUGUGUAAAUGUACUUUGACCUCACGUGAUCGAGGUCUAUAAAUAAGCAUAGAGUCUCGGGACAUACAGAUGCAUUCAUUCAUUCGUUUCCAAGCAUUCAUUCGUUCGUUGGUUCUUCCGUCUAUCUUCAUCUUAGCACUCCGUACCACUGUUACAGACUAUCGAUUAUAUUCACAAAGAAACAGUAAUUAUCUUGUAUCAUAGUUGUUUAUGAUUUCUGUAACAUUA